This 253-nucleotide ribosomal RNA is filed under the name uncultured bacterium. RNAcentral's name for it is "partial 16S ribosomal RNA". It matches the Rfam family "Bacterial small subunit ribosomal RNA", at positions 524 to 776 of the family's 1533-position model. The record is from RNAcentral.
UACGUAGGGAGCAAGCGUUGUCCGGAAUCAUUGGGCGUAAAGCGCGCGUAGGCGGCCCUGUAAGUCCGUUGUGAAAGUCAAAGGCUCAACCUUUGAAAGCCGAUGGAUACUGCAGGGCUAGAGUCCGGAAGAGGAGAGUGGAAUUCCUGGUGUAGCGGUGAAAUGCGCAGAUAUCAGGAAGAACACCAAUGGCGAAAGCAGCUCUCUGGGACGGUACUGACGCUGAGACGCGAAAGCGUGGGGAGCGAACAGG